RNAcentral lists this long non-coding RNA (2178 nucleotides) under Mytilus galloprovincialis (Mediterranean mussel). Lineage: Eukaryota; Metazoa; Mollusca; Bivalvia; Mytilida; Mytilidae. The record is from RNAcentral.
AAGAGCUACAAAAAAGUGUAUAUGACCAAAAUUGUCAAUUGACCCCUUAAAGGAGUUAUUGCCCUUUAAAAGAACAAUUUUACACAAUUUGUUAAUCAUGUUUGUUAACAUUUAAAAUCUUCUCCUAAUAUACAGGUGAGCGAUUCAGGCUCUUGAGAGCCUCUUGUUUGUCAACUGAUCAUGUCACUUCAGUUCUGUGUGUUCAUCUUUUUCUUUUGUCUAAUUUGAUUUAAGACUAAGCUAUAGAAACUGUAAAAUUAACUAUCUUGUAACAGCAGGAUUACAAAAACAUACACAUUCAAAACAACCAGAACACCAAUUAGAAACUAAAAACAACAAGAAUCACAGAUUGGUUAUUAAAAACAAUGUACCUGCUUGGGGAAUAUAAAAAGCUGAAAAUUAUUAGUUACUUAGAUUCUGUAUAUAAAUUAUUUGCAUUCAUUUGGUGUCAGAUAUUCAUCGAUCCCAACUGUUUGGUCAUAUUUUCAAAUAUUUUUAUUUCCUAAUUCCAUCACCUUGUGACAUGUCACAAUAUAAAGUAGCUCAAAUCUCAAUCGUACUUAAAGGAUUAAGAUUUUUUUCCUUUCCCUCCUAAGUUUUCAUGUAAAAUGAUAAAACGAAGAAAAACUAAUAGUAGGCACCUUAUUGAAAAUUGUUUCACAAUUAUCUUUUAAAAUCUCUUUUUUGCAGCCUGGCACUGUUUUAUUCAGAUACAUCUUAUGUGUUUUUAUGGUUUCAAAGUGUUUAUUAUUUAGUAAAUCAAUUAAAUUACCUAGAUUUUCUUCAUGUUCCUGAAUCAUGAUACCAUGAAAAAGUUAGAAUAUUAAAGUAUGACCAAAUACGAAGAUUAACUAUAGACAGUUUGAUUUUUUAUAGGUUAUUUGAUGAAAAAUCUGACCAAAAACUUUAGCUUUAAGAGAUUCACUGAAAUAUCAUAUGGCAGCUUUAAAGUCUUGUAUAUUCUUCAUUUCAAAAACUUGUGUUAUUUGUGUUUAUUUUUUCAUUACCUAUUUUGAUAAUUAUUUAGUUAAUUGAAAUAUUUGUCAACUAUUGUCAUCAAAUUAUGUCCUCCAUCUAAAAUCAUCAUUAAAACAUUUCAUACAUUUAACACCAGCUAAAAGCAAGCUUAAAUAAAAGUGUUCUGUGCCGGUCCUCUUUCAAAAGUUAAACAUUUUCAAAUUAUUAUAAUUAAAUAAGAGAACCAACACCUUCCGACAGAAAGUUAGGCUAGAAUAAAGACUUAGGACACCAGGGGUAAUACAUUCUUUAUCAUAUUUUGGGUUUCUUUCCAGUUGAUCAACUUUUGAUAGAAUUUCUGACCUUAGACCUAGGUGUUUUUAUCCUGAUCAAGACUUUUCAGUUAUUCCUGCAUUUCUGGUACUACAUUAGGAUAUAAUGAUGACUUACAAAUGAACUUUAUAUUUCAUUCAAAUUGUCCACAUUUUUGCAAAACUAUGGCCCUUCAUAAAUUUAUUCUUUUCCUGAACAUUUUUGUUUGUUGAAAGACAUAGCUACAACCCUUAACGUAAAUCUUAAGUUUGAUAGAAUGCAUUGAUAAACUAACAAUAGUUUUGCAAAGGGCGGGAUACUGCUAAAGAUAUUGGAAAACCAUAGAGAAGUCAUUCUAUAAAGACAUUGAUAGAACCUGACCAAUGCACACUCCUUAAGCUUCUAUUAUACUGUAUAGCUCUAGCAGUGGCUGAUCCAGGGGGUUGAGUUGGAAUCCCCCUUUUUUGACACUCAAUGCAUUUGAAUAGGGAUAAAUAGUUGGAACCCCCCUUCCCCCUUUAUCCUGGGUUGGGACCCCCUUAAAAAAUGGCUUUAUCCACCCCUGUCUAGCAUUAAGAAUAAUAGCAGUAGAUUCAGUUUAGGUAGAUUGUGGAGUUUGGCACAUAGAUUAGAACAUAAUUAAUACAUUACAUUGUAGAAUGCAUAUAUUUAUUGGUCUGUAUCAUUUUACCAUUUUUUAUGUUGUAAGUUCAUAACUUAUAACAUAACUAAUUAAGAGUUGGAUUUCUGGACAACUUGAUGAAUUUUCUAACACUUCAUAUAUAUAUAUAUAUAUGUUUUUCUUGUCUUUACAUUUAACAUCCUGUUGAGUUUUGUUUUAUAUUAAAAUCUAUUUAUGUAUAAUACUGAUCUGUUAAGUGUGCUUGUAGAUAUUGAUGAAAUAUAGAA